UUAAGCGACUAAGCGUACACGGUGGAUGCCCUGGCAGUCAGAGGCGAUGAAGGACGUGCUAAUCUGCGAAAAGCGUCGGUAAGGUGAUAUGAACCGUUAUAACCGGCGAUGUCCGAAUGGGGAAACCCAGUGUGAUUCGUCACACUAUCGUUAACUGAAUACAUAGGUUAACGAGGCGAACCGGGGGAACUGAAACAUCUAAGUACCCCGAGGAAAAGAAAUCAACCGAGAUUCCCCCAGUAGCGGCGAGCGAACGGGGAGCAGCCCAGAGUCUGAAUCAGCUUGUGUGUUAGUGGAACGGUCUGGAAAGUCCGACGGUACAGGGUGAUAGUCCCGUACACCAAAAUGCACAGGCUGUGAACUCGAAGAGUAGGGCGGGACACGUGGUAUCCUGUCUGAAUAUGGGGGGACCAUCCUCCAAGGCUAAAUACUCCUGACUGACCGAUAGUGAACCAGUACCGUGAGGGAAAGGCGAAAAGAACCCCGGCGAGGGGAGUGAAAAAGAACCUGAAACCGUGUACGUACAAGCAGUGGGAGCACCUUCGGGUGUGACUGCGUACCUUUUGUAUAAUGGGUCAGCGACUUAUAUUCUGUAGCAAGGUUAACCGUAUAGGGGAGCCGCAGGGAAACCGAGUCUUAACUGGGCGUUAAGUUGCAGGGUAUAGACCCGAAACCCGGUGAUCUAGCCAUGGGCAGGUUGAAGGUUGGGUAACACUAACUGGAGGACCGAACCGACUAAUGUUGAAAAAUUAGCGGAUGACUUGUGGCUGGGGGUGAAAGGCCAAUCAAACCGGGAGAUAGCUGGUUCUCCCCGAAAGCUAUUUAGGUAGCGCCUCGUGAAUUCAUCUUCGGGGGUAGAGCACUGUUUCGGCUAGGGGGUCAUCCCGACUUACCAACCCGAUGCAAACUACGAAUACCGAAGAAUGUUAUCACGGGAGACACACGGCGGGUGCUAACGUCCGUCGUGAAGAGGGAAACAACCCAGACCGCCAGCUAAGGUCCCAAAGUCAUGGUUAAGUGGGAAACGAUGUGGGAAGGCACAGACAGCCAGGAUGUUGGCUUAGAAGCAGCCAUCAUUUAAAGAAAGCGUAAUAGCUCACUGGUCGAGUCGGCCUGCGCGGAAGAUGUAACGGGGCUAAACCAUGCACCGAAGCUGCGGCAGCGACACUAUGUGUUGUUGGGUAGGGGAGCGUUCUGUAAGCCUGCGAAGGUGUGCUGUGAGGCAUGCUGGAGGUAUCAGAAGUGCGAAUGCUGACAUAAGUAACGAUAAAGCGGGUGAAAAGCCCGCUCGCCGGAAGACCAAGGGUUCCUGUCCAACGUUAAUCGGGGCAGGGUGAGUCGACCCCUAAGGCGAGGCCGAAAGGCGUAGUCGAUGGGAAACAGGUUAAUAUUCCUGUACUUGGUGUUACUGCGAAGGGGGGACGGAGAAGGCUAUGUUAGCCGGGCGACGGUUGUCCCGGUUUAAGCAUGUAGGCUGGUUGUCCAGGCAAAUCCGGAUAAUCAAGGCUGAGGUGUGAUGACGAGGCACUACGGUGCUGAAGUAACAAAUGCCCUGCUUCCAGGAAAAGCCUCUAAGCAUCAGGUAACAUCAAAUCGUACCCCAAACCGACACAGGUGGUCAGGUAGAGAAUACCAAGGCGCUUGAGAGAACUCGGGUGAAGGAACUAGGCAAAAUGGUGCCGUAACUUCGGGAGAAGGCACGCUGGUGUGUAGGUGAAGUCCCUGCGGAUGGAGCUGAGACCAGUCGAAGAUACCAGCUGGCUGCAACUGUUUAUUAAAAACACAGCACUGUGCAAACACGAAAGUGGACGUAUACGGUGUGACGCCUGCCCGGUGCCGGAAGGUUAAUUGAUGGGGUUAUCCGUAAGGAGAAGCUCUUGAUCGAAGCCCCGGUAAACGGCGGCCGUAACUAUAACGGUCCUAAGGUAGCGAAAUUCCUUGUCGGGUAAGUUCCGACCUGCACGAAUGGCGUAAUGAUGGCCAGGCUGUCUCCACCCGAGACUCAGUGAAAUUGAACUCGCUGUGAAGAUGCAGUGUACCCGCGGCAAGACGGAAAGACCCCGUGAACCUUUACUAUAGCUUGACACUGAACAUUGAGCCUUGAUGUGUAGGAUAGGUGGGAGGCUUUGAAGCGUGGACGCCAGUCUGCGUGGAGCCAACCUUGAAAUACCACCCUUUAAUGUUUGAUGUUCUAACGUUGGCCCCUUACCGGGGUUGCGGACAGUGUCUGGUGGGUAGUUUGACUGGGGCGGUCUCCUCCCAAAGCGUAACGGAGGAGCACGAAGGUUAGCUAAUCCUGGUCGGACAUCAGGAGGUUAGUGCAAUGGCAUAAGCUAGCUUGACUGCGAGCGUGACGGCGCGAGCAGGUGCGAAAGCAGGUCAUAGUGAUCCGGUGGUUCUGAAUGGAAGGGCCAUCGCUCAACGGAUAAAAGGUACUCCGGGGAUAACAGGCUGAUACCGCCCAAGAGUUCAUAUCGACGGCGGUGUUUGGCACCUCGAUGUCGGCUCAUCACAUCCUGGGGCUGAAGUAGGUCCCAAGGGUAUGGCUGUUCGCCAUUUAAAGUGGUACGCGAGCUGGGUUUAGAACGUCGUGAGACAGUUCGGUCCCUAUCUGCCGUGGGCGCUGGAGAAUUGAGGGGGGCUGCUCCUAGUACGAGAGGACCGGAGUGGACGCAUCACUGGUGUUCGGGUUGUCAUGCCAAUGGCACUGCCCGGUAGCUAAAUGCGGAAGAGAUAAGUGCUGAAAGCAUCUAAGCACGAAACUUGCCCCGAGAUGAGUUCUCCCUGAGACUUUAAGUCUCCUGAAGGAACGUUAAAGACGAUGACGUUGAUAGGCCGGGUGUGUAAGCGCAGCGAUGCGUUGAGCUAACCGGUACUAAUGAACCGUGAGGCUUAACCUU
Molecule: ribosomal RNA, 2900 nt
Filed under: Klebsiella pneumoniae
Lineage: Bacteria; Pseudomonadati; Pseudomonadota; Gammaproteobacteria; Enterobacterales; Enterobacteriaceae
Description: bacterial LSU rRNA
Rfam family: Bacterial large subunit ribosomal RNA
Source: RNAcentral